GCGCGCGAGAGAGCGUGCGUAGCGAGUUAUCUGGGAGCCCAUCGCGGCGCGAAUCAUAUUUCCUCCGGUUCCCACGCAACCCACUUUUCGUAUAACUCUCUCCACACUCUUCCUCUCCUUCUCUUCUUCUUCAUUCGCUUCCUGCAGAGAUCCAUUCUUCGUGGAAGAUGGAGCACCACCACGGCACCGAGGAUCACCGCCGAAGAAGCUCCUCAGAGUCCGUGAAUUCCGUCGAUGUUGGCGAUGGUGGCCAUGACGGUCAUUCUUCCGGGUCCACUGACAUGAGUUCCCCUAUCCACAAGAUGCCUGGGGACGCAUCAACAUCUGGAAAGUCAGAAUCAGACUCCGCCCAGCUUUCAAGGACUGGGCAGUGGAGACAAAACAACAAACUUGGUCUUCUUACAGCUAAAUUUUUUGAUGAAAAAGUUCCUCUGAAAAAGAAGCUUAAAUGGUUAAAGCGAGCUGCUACUGAAAGUGAUGGUACUGUGCAGUUUGAAGUUCCAGGCGACAUCGCAUCGCAAAGUCUAAAUUUUGGAACUGGAGUUGUUUAUAAUGGAGCUACUGAAGAACCAGUUCCUGAGGACGUCCCUGAUUUACCUCCACUGCAGAUUGUAAUGCUUAUUGUUGGGACCCGGGGAGAUGUCCAACCCGCUGUUGCUAUCGGAAAAUGCUUACAGGAACAUGGGCAUAGGGUGAGACUGGCCACUCAUGUGGAUUUCAAAGAAUUUGUCUUUACGGCAGGGCUAGAGUUCUAUCCUUUAGGUGGAGAUCCUAAAGUUCUUGCUGGAUAUAUGGUAAAAAAUAAAGGCUUUUUUCCUUCAGGACCUUCAGAAACACACAUCCAGAAUCAAAUAAAAGAUAUCAUAUUCUCGUUGCUCCCAGCUUGCAUGGAUCCAGAUCCUGAUACCCAUUUAGAAUUUAACGCCAAUGCAAUAAUUGCUAAUCCCCCAGCAUAUGGGCAUACACAUGUAGCUGAAGCGCUGAAUCUGCCACUUCAUGUAGUUUCCACAACGCCAUGGACGCCUACUAGUGAAUUCCCCAAACUUUUGUCCCAUGUGAAGCAACCAGUUGGCUACAGAGUAAAAGAUGUGAUCAACGAGUUCAGAAAGAAAAAAUUGAGGCUAAGACCUGUCACUUCUUUACGUGGAUCCCAUAGCUCUCCUCCUGAUGUGCCUUAUGCUUAUAUCUGGAGCCCUCACCUAGUCCCCAAACCGAAAGAUUGGGGACCAAAAAUUGAUGUGGUCGGAUUUUGUUUCCUUGAUCUUGCAUCAAGUUAUCAACCACCAGAAUCUCUUGUCAAAUGGCUAGAGAGAGGUGAAAAGCCUAUCUACAUUGGUUUUGGUAGCCUUCCAGUUCAGGAACCAGAGAAGAUGACUGAGAUCAUAGUUAAGGCUCUGGAAAUUACUUGUCAAAGAGGCAUCAUCAACAAAGGCUGGGGUGGUCUUGGGAAUUCUGCAGAACAAAAGGACUUUGUCUAUUUGCUUGAUAAUUGCCCUCACGACUGGCUUUUCCAGCACUGCAGUGCUGUGGUACAUCAUGGAGGAGCUGGUACAACCCAUGCCGGUCUUAAAGCCGUGGUAACUACAUAUGCCAACUUUGGGGAUUCAUGUUGUUUUCUCUCUUUGGACUAAAUUGAUUUAUCUCUCUUCUCAACAGUGUCCGAUGACAGUUGUACCUUUCUUUGGGGACCAGCCCUUUUGGGGAGAUCGGGUGCAUUCAUGGGGGUUGGGCCCGGCGCCAAUUCCAGUUGAUGAUUUCUCUCUUGAAAAGUUGGUUGAUGCAAUACGUUUCAUGCUGGAUCCAAAGGUGAAAGAGCGCGCAGAAGAACUGGCCAAAGUCAUGGAACUUGAAGAUGGAGUGGAGGGAGCAGUGAAGGCUUUCUACAAACACUUUCCAACCGAAAAGCUCAAGUUGGAUCCGGAGUCAUUGCCUGCUCAUUCAAUGCACUCCCAUUCAAGUCCCCUGUCGUUAAGACAAUGUUUUGGUUGCUAAUGAUUUUCGGAUGUUGAGUCUCCACCGUGGACCUGUGUGGCCCAUGUCUGUAUUCUCAAACAGUUGCAAAAUUGCUGUAUUCCUAAUCACUGGUAAUUUGAAUUUCAUCAAUCCUACUGCGUUUCAGUGUC
RNA transcript from Eucalyptus grandis, 2123 nucleotides. It is a transcript of the gene named sterol 3-beta-glucosyltransferase UGT80A2, with no coding region annotated. Lineage: Eukaryota; Viridiplantae; Streptophyta; Magnoliopsida; Myrtales; Myrtaceae. The transcript has 13 exons. The record is from RefSeq and is a predicted model, not a curated record.